AUAGGUUAUGUGGAUCAAGCUGUCCAAGACGAAAAAUUAGCCGCUGAUUUAUCUCGUUUGGAUUUACGGUAAAAAUGUUGUGGGUGUCUGAAAAUCUAAAACAAAUGUGAAAAAGGCUGCCACGACAACGUUUUCUGAAAACGCUAAAUAGAGGCGUUAGCGGCUAGAACGCGACUUGACCGACUGUGGUUCGCUGCUAGCGUUCGCUGCAGAGGUUAUGCAGCGGAUGGCCGGCAAAUAAAUAAAACAUCGGCGAUUAUACUAAACCAAAGGAAAUCGACGUUCUGUUUAAAUAAAACCGAACGGUUUAGAUAAAACCACACUAACCCGUACCGAUUCGUUCUAAAGAAAGAUCCUAUCUAAUCUAAUCUAACGAACGAAGCAGAGGGUGUGGUUGCUUAUAGCGAGACGACGCUGGCGUUUGGAGGCAGGGUCGUGGGCGAGCGGCGCGGACGGGGCGGCGGCUCCGACGGGAUGCGGCGCGGGUGAGGUAGGCGGGCGGGUGCGUCUCGUCGAGGGAUGCCGAACGACGGUGGUGUGUGGCAUCGAAGGCGUCGGGGUGGAGCAGGGCGAGUGGCGGAGCUUCGGUGCUCCGGUGAGCUCCGGCGGGCUCGGGUCGUCGGGGCUUCGUCUCCGGCGAAACCUAGGUGACAAAAAUAUGUCAGAGAGAUGCUCAAGUACGUGGGGAUGCGAUUCCUGAAGAAAAGAGAGGCACGGGAGGUUCACCGACGGCGUAGUACUCGGGCGAAGGAGCUCCGGCCGGCGAGAUGCGAACGGCGACGGCAUCAGCUAUGAGCGGCGAGAGGAGGGGCAGGAUGGCUGAAUGAGACGAGGGACUCGAGGGCCUUUUAUAGGUGCGGCUAUGGCGUUUGCAGGCUGCGGGAUAAGCUCUAUCCUGAGAGCAUCGCUCGGUAGGUGCGGG
RNAcentral lists this long non-coding RNA (922 nucleotides) under Hordeum vulgare. RNAcentral describes it as "long non-coding RNA (HVUL_LNC002879)". Lineage: Eukaryota; Viridiplantae; Streptophyta; Magnoliopsida; Poales; Poaceae. The record is from RNAcentral.